AUACUUACCUAACAGAGGUGACACCAUGAUCAUGAAGAUGGUUUUCCCAGGGUGAGGCUUACCGAUUCCACUCUGGAUGUUCUGGCCCCUGUGAUUUCCCCCAAACUUGGGAAACUCAGCUGUAUACUUUAUGGUAAUGGGAAACUGUUUUCAUUCCCC
Acomys russatus (golden spiny mouse) is the source of this 159-nucleotide small nuclear RNA. RefSeq annotates it as U1 spliceosomal RNA. The record is from RefSeq and is a predicted model, not a curated record. Lineage: Eukaryota; Metazoa; Chordata; Mammalia; Rodentia; Muridae. The transcript has a single exon.